This 419-nucleotide ribosomal RNA is filed under the name uncultured bacterium. RNAcentral describes it as "bacterial SSU rRNA". It matches the Rfam family "Bacterial small subunit ribosomal RNA", at positions 356 to 773 of the family's 1533-position model. The record is from RNAcentral.
GAGGAAUAUUGGACAAUGGUCGGAAGACUGAUCCAGCCAUGCCGCGUGAAGGGAAAGGUCCUAUGGAUUUUCAACUUCUUUUGUACGGGGGCAAUAAGGUCCACGCGUGGGCCGAUGAGAGUACCGUACGAAUAAGCAUCGGCUAACUCCGUGCCAGCAGCCGCGGUAAUACGGAGGAUGCAAGCGUUAUCCGGAUUUAUUGGGUUUAAAGGGUGCGUAGGCGGAUUUUCAAGUCAGUGGUGAAAUACCCGGGCCAAACCCGGGAGCUGCCGUUGAAACUGGGAGUCUAGGAUACGGUUGCCGUGGGAGGAAUGAGUAGUGUAGCGGUGAAAUGCAUAGAUAUUACUCAGAACACCGAUUGCGAAAGCAUCUCACGAAGCCGUCAUUGACGCUGAGGCACGAAAGUGUGGGGAUCGAAC